CCUACGGGGAGCUGCAGUGGGGAAUAUUGGACAAUGGGCGAAAGCCUGAUCCAGCCAUGCCGCGUGUGUGAAGAAGGCCUUCGGGUUGUAAAGCACUUUCAGUGGGGAAGAAAGCCUUGGGGCUAAUACCCUCGAGGAAGGACAUCACCCACAGAAGAAGCACCGGCUAACUCCGUGCCAGCAGCCGCGGUAAUACGGAGGGUGCGAGCGUUAAUCGGAAUUACUGGGCGUAAAGCGCGCGUAGGCGGUCUGAUAAGCCGGUUGUGAAAGCCCCGGGCUCAACCUGGGAACGGCAUCCGGAACUGUCAGGCUAGAGUGCAGGAGAGGAAGGUAGAAUUCCCGGUGUAGCGGUGAAAUGCGUAGAGAUCGGGAGGAAUACCAGUGGCGAAGGUGGCCUUCUGGACUGACACUGACGCUGAGGUGCGAAAGCGUGGGUAGCAAACAGGAUUAGAUACCCGGGUAGUC
RNAcentral lists this ribosomal RNA (465 nucleotides) under Vreelandella stevensii. Its description in RNAcentral is "partial 16S ribosomal RNA". It matches the Rfam family "Bacterial small subunit ribosomal RNA", at positions 338 to 795 of the family's 1533-position model. The record is from RNAcentral. Lineage: Bacteria; Pseudomonadati; Pseudomonadota; Gammaproteobacteria; Oceanospirillales; Halomonadaceae.